GAAUCCACAGAAAUACAGAUGCAAAAGCAGGACAUGGAUAAAUGAGAGAAGAUAUGGUAUUGCUCCUACAAGUAGAACAUUCUGUCUUCGAGAUAGAUAUCCAGUGAUGCCAGGGCUACUGAAGAAUGUCCUUGUGCUAAAAAUAGUACCUAUUCUUUCCCAUGCCCUCUGUCCCCUUUCAGCUUUCACUUCACAUGAUUCAGCUCCAAGAGAGGGGCACUGACCUCGUCUCACCAAGAAUAUCAAACAUCUCCACUGCUUUGAUGAACUUUUUGGUCAUAACACUGAGGCUUCCUGGUAAACAAACCAGAUCUACUGUGCUACAGAGUGAACUGAACCAGGUUUUCAAGCAACCGUCUUUGUGGACAGGGAACUCACUAAAACAAACCCUGCGAGCAAGCCAAAGAAGGAAAACUACAGGACCUCCAGGGGAUCUUCACGAAUGUGUUCAAGCUGAUAGGGUAGGAUUAAUCGGAGAAAACAAGUCCUUGGGUCCUGUUUUGCAUCCACCCCACACUCUUACCAGGCCACACAACUUGCUAAAGUAGACAUCUGCAGGCCAACAUCCAUUGGAGAAAAGCAAAGGAUGGGAUGGGAUGGGAUGGGAUGGGAUGGGAUGGGAUGGGAUGGGAUGGGAUGGGAUGAAAGAAUGGAGGAACUGAUUUAUCAGGCAAGAGCAGGCCAGAUGCACAAAGAAGGUAAAAGGAGACUUAUAGCCAUCAUUUGCCCUGGUCCCUGUGACAUAGAGAAAUUACGUUCACACAGCUGAGCAGCCCCUUCCCUUAUUGUGAUCAACACACCAGGCUGGUCAGCUAGAUGACACAAAGGUGAACUGUAAUAGCCAAUGCUCUAUUACAGCCUUUAAGAAUGACAGAUUUUAAUUUGGUAU
Pezoporus flaviventris is the source of this 889-nucleotide long non-coding RNA. RefSeq lists it as uncharacterized. The transcript has 4 exons. Lineage: Eukaryota; Metazoa; Chordata; Aves; Psittaciformes; Psittacidae. The record is from RefSeq and is a predicted model, not a curated record.